AAAAUAAAAAGACAUUAAAAAAAAAAGUUCACCUCUCUUCAGUUACAAAAAAAAAAAAAAUCUUCAAUGUAUAAUUUAAAAAUUGAAAACAUUUCUCUAACUUUCCCAGUUAGUGAUAAUGAAAUCCCGGGUCUGGGAUUACCCGCACCAGCAAAUGGUCUUGGCUGUAGCACAACCCAGUCACCCUGCCCUGCAACGUAGGGUUGUAUUAAUCAUGUUUGUUACUUUCUGUAUAUUAUGAUUUGACAUCUUAAAACCCUGACCGGCUGGGAGAUACUGCCCCCUCCCUACCCAAUUCUGAAAGACCGCAAAGGACUCAGACAGGAGCAUGCCUGCCGUGUGCAAGCUAACCACCCAGAGCUAGACCUCUGCUAGCUGGCCUGCACAGCCCAGAUGGAAUCAUUCCAGGCCCAGGUGCCAGAAACACCACAGAGGCUCUGGCUUUGCCCUGCGCGUUAGCUCCCUGAUGAGAACUUGGCCUUCCUCUGCGGCCCUGCGAGGCGAGCCCUGCCUCUCGUUUCCAGGGGGAGACCGGGAGUGGUGGUAAACGUUUCCAUCGAUGGCAUCGGCCCCUUUGCGUCCUCGCUCAGUCACCUCUCCAGAUCAAGCCCUGGGCACAGAGUAUGGCUGCAAUCCGUCUUUUGAGUCCACACCUGUCGCUGUCCGAGUUCUAACCUCCAAAGUUGCUCGAGACCAAGAGGGGGCCCCCCACUUUGCCUGAUGGUUGAUGGGACACCAUACCUAUUAGUCCAUGUGCUUUAGGUGAAAACUUGUUUGUGGGGGGAAUGUAGAUCCCCAGAAAGUCUACGUUGAUCGGAUGCUUCUUCCAAACCCGAUGG
Long non-coding RNA from Herpailurus yagouaroundi (jaguarundi), 839 nucleotides. RefSeq lists it as uncharacterized. The transcript has 2 exons. The record is from RefSeq and is a predicted model, not a curated record. Lineage: Eukaryota; Metazoa; Chordata; Mammalia; Carnivora; Felidae.